This 497-nucleotide ribosomal RNA is filed under the name uncultured bacterium. RNAcentral describes it as "partial 16S ribosomal RNA". It matches the Rfam family "Bacterial small subunit ribosomal RNA", at positions 28 to 507 of the family's 1533-position model. The record is from RNAcentral.
GAUGAACGCUGGCGGCGUGCCUAAUACAUGCAAGUCGAGCGAACAGACGAGGAGCUUGCUCCUCUGACGUUAGCGGCGGACGGGUGAGUAACACGUGGAUAACCUACCUAUAAGACUGGGAUAACUUCGGGAAACCGGAGCUAAUACCGGAUAAUAUAUUGAACCGCAUGGUUCAAUAGUGAAAGACGGUUUUGCUGUCACUUAUAGAUGGAUCCGCGCCGCAUUAGCUAGUUGGUAAGGUAACGGCUUACCAAGGCAACGACGCGUAGCCGACCUGAGAGGGUGAUCGGCCACACUGGAACUGAGACACGGCCCAGACUCCUACGGGAGGCAGCAGUAGGGAAUCUUCCGCAAUGGGCGAAAGCCUGACGGAGCAACGCCGCGUGAGUGAUGAAGGUCUUCGGAUCGUAAAACUCUGUUAUUAGGGAAGAACAAAUGUGUAAGUAACUAUGCACGUCUUGACGGUACCUAAUCAGAAAGCCACGGCUAACUACGUG